AGGCUCUGCAACUAAAUUCCUUUGUUCACAAUUGGGACCUGUUAUCGUUUUCUCUAGUUUUAUUUCUUAGUUGUUGGAUUAACAAAUGAAAGUUGGAACUUUUCUUCUUUUACCUACUAUCUAUAUUUUCCGCUGGUGAGGUUCCAGAUACCUAUCCUUGUAUUCUUUGCAGCAUAAAUUACAAUGCAUAAUGUUGUACUUUCUGUGACAUGACUUGUAUUUUCUGUUGCUCUCAUAUUAUUCUUCAAACUUUGGGUCAAGUGCACCCCUUAAGGCAGCCUGCUUUCCAUUUUCGAAAUUAGAUUAGUGGCCCAGUAGUUAUGGGUGCGAAGUGCUUGCCUGCUGAAAACUUCACUAUAGAUAUCUCUGUUAUAUCAUAAAUGUCAAUAACUUGAUGGAUAUACAUUUUAGCUUACUGGUUGGUUAGACUGAAUAUGCUGUAGUUUGUGUUACAAGAAAAUGCCCUAUUCGACUCAACAAAGACAGAAAACUCUCAGACACAAAGGCAUCAAGAUUUCAUCGAUUAGAGCUCAGAUCUUAGCAUUGUACCCGUCUGUACAACGUGAAACUCAUAAACCACAGUUCCAAACCACAAAACACAGAGGCGGUCACUUCAACGAACUAAGAACACUCAAGACCAAACUGGAAACUCUCAACAAAGCUCAACCGAACAGUUACACAGACUGUAGGAACACACAGAGGCCACAAACCAGUAGUUUUAAUGGCGUAAUCUCAAGAUUCACAGAGAAGGAGAAGAAGCAAAAGACACACAGUCAUGAAGAGAGAGAUCC
This 791-nucleotide long non-coding RNA is filed under the name Olea europaea subsp. europaea. Lineage: Eukaryota; Viridiplantae; Streptophyta; Magnoliopsida; Lamiales; Oleaceae. The record is from RNAcentral.